GGGCUGACGGGUGCUAUACAUGCAGUCGAACGCGCGGAUCAGGAGCUUGCUCCUGUGACGCGAGUGGCGGACGGGUGAGUAACACGUAGGCAACCUGCCCAUCAGACUGGGAUAACCACGGGAAACCGUGGCUAAUACCGGAUAAUCCUUUUCCACACAGGUGGAAAAGUUGAAAGGCGGUCUUUUGGGUGUCACUGAUGGAUGGGCCUGCGGCGCAUUAUCUUGUUGGUGGGGUAACGGCCCACCAAGGCGACGAUGCGUACCCGACCUGAGAGGGUGAUCGGCCACACUGGGACUGAGACACGGCCCAGACUCCUACGGGAGGCAGCAGUAGGGAAUCUUCCGCAAUGGACGAAAGUCUGACGGAGCAACGCCGCGUGAGUGAAGAAGGGUUUCGGCUCGUAAAACUCUGUUGUCAGGGAAGAACGCCGACGGGAGUAACUGCCCGUCGGGUGACGGUACCUGACCAGAAAGCCACGGCUAACUACGUGCCAGCAGCCGCGGUAAUACGUAGGUGGCAAGCGUUAUCCGGAAUUAUUGGGCGUAAAGCGCGCGUAGGCGGUUCGUUAAGUCUGAUGUGAAAGCCCCCGGCUCAACCGGAGAGGGUCAUUGGAAACUGGCGGACUUGAGUGCAGAAGAGGAGAGUGGAAUUCCAUGUGUAGCGGUGAAAUGCGCAGAGAUAUGGAGGAACACCAGUGGCGAAGGCGGCUCUCUGGUCUGCAACUGACGCUGAGGUGCGAAAGCGUGGAGAUCAAACAAGAUUAUAUACUCUGAUAGUCCACGCCGUAAACGAUGAGUGCUAAGUGUUAGGGGGUCUCCGCCUCUUAGUGCUGCAGCUAACGCAUUAAGCACUCCGUCUGGAGAGUACGGCCGCAAGGUUGAAACUCAAGAGUAGUGACGGAGACCCGCACAAGCGGUGCAGCAUGUGUUUUAUUCGAAGCAACGCGAAGACUUCACCAUAUCUUGACAUCCUCUGACCACCGUGGAGACAGGUCUCUCUUCGGGCAGAGUGACAUGUGCUGCAUGGUGUCGUCAUCUCGUGUCGUGAAGAUGUUGGGAUAAGUCCCGCAACGAGCGCAACUCUUUAUCAUAGUGCCAGCAUUCAGUGGCACUCUAGGAACUGCGGUGACAAUCGGGAGAAAAGGGGGGUAGACUCAAAUCAUCAUGCCUUAGAUUGGCUCACAUGGUUGAUUGACGUUGCAAAGGCAUAAGCUGGAGCAGGCAAUUCAAUAAAAGUG
Molecule: ribosomal RNA, 1238 nt
Filed under: Salinicoccus roseus
Lineage: Bacteria; Bacillati; Bacillota; Bacilli; Caryophanales; Staphylococcaceae
Description: bacterial SSU rRNA
Rfam family: Bacterial small subunit ribosomal RNA
Source: RNAcentral